Molecule: ribosomal RNA, 681 nt
Filed under: Microbacterium sp.
Lineage: Bacteria; Bacillati; Actinomycetota; Actinomycetes; Micrococcales; Microbacteriaceae
Description: bacterial SSU rRNA
Rfam family: Bacterial small subunit ribosomal RNA
Source: RNAcentral
UGCUCUGUGGAUCAGUGGCGAACGGGUGAGUAACACGUGAGCAACCUGCCCCUGACUCUGGGAUAAGCGCUGGAAACGGCGUCUAAUACUGGAUAUGAGCUGCGAUCGCAUGGUCAGCAGUUGGAAAGAUUUUUCGGUCUGGGAUGGGCUCACGGCCUAUCAGCUUGUUGGUGAGGUAAUGGCUCACCAAGGCGUCGACGGGUAGCCGGCCUGAGAGGGUGACCGGCCACACUGGGACUGAGACACGGCCCAGACUCCUACGGGAGGCAGCAGUGGGGAAUAUUGCACAAUGGGCGAAAGCCUGAUGCAGCAACGCCGCGUGAGGGAUGACGGCCUUCGGGUUGUAAACCUCUUUUAGCAGGGAAGAAGCGAAAGUGACGGUACCUGCAGAAAAAGCGCCGGCUAACUACGUGCCAGCAGCCGCGGUAAUACGUAGGGCGCAAGCGUUAUCCGGAAUUAUUGGGCGUAAAGAGCUCGUAGGCGGUUUGUCGCGUCUGCUGUGAAAUCCCGAGGCUCAACCUCGGGUCUGCAGUGGGUACGGGCAGACUAGAGUGCGGUAGGGGAGAUUGGAAUUCCUGGUGUAGCGGUGGAAUGCGCAGAUAUCAGGAGGAACACCGAUGGCGAAGGCAGAUCUCUGGGCCGUUACUGACGCUGAGGAGCGAAAGGGUGGGGAGCAAACAG